GACGAACGCUGGCGGCGUGCCUAAUACAUGCAAGUAGAACGCACAGUUUAUACCGUAGCUUGCUACACCAUAGACUGUGAGUUGCGAACGGGUGAGUAACGCGUAGGUAACCUGCCUGGUAGCGGGGGAUAACUAUUGGAAACGAUAGCUAAUACCGCAUAAUAUUAAUUAUUGCAUGAUAAUUAAUUGAAAGGUGCAAUUGCACCACUACCAGAUGGACCUGCGUUGUAUUAGCUAGUAGGUGAGGUAACGGCUCACCUAGGCGACGAUACAUAGCCGACCUGAGAGGGUGAUCGGCCACACUGGGACUGAGACACGGCCCAGACUCCUACGGGAGGCAGCAGUAGGGAAUCUUCGGCAAUGGACGAAAGUCUGACCGAGCAACGCCGCGUGAGUGAAGAAGGUUUUCGGAUCGUAAAGCUCUGUUGUAAGAGAAGAACGGGUGUGAGAGUGGAAGUUCACACUGUGACGGUAUCUUACCAGAAAGGGACGGCUAACUACGUG
Molecule: ribosomal RNA, 504 nt
Filed under: uncultured bacterium
Lineage: Bacteria
Description: partial 16S ribosomal RNA
Rfam family: Bacterial small subunit ribosomal RNA
Source: RNAcentral